GCUUUUUGGUUAUUUUAUUAAAGGUGGUUUCUGCUCAGUGAUUUUAAACAGCCGCGGUAAUUUGACCGUGCGAAGGUAGCAUAAUCAUUUGCCCUAUAAUUUGGGGCUUGUAUGAAUGGAUUUACAAGAGUUUUGCUGUCUUAAAAAAAUGGUUAGAAUUUGUUUUUGUUGUGAAGAAACAGCGAUGUAGUAAAGGGACAAGAAGACCCUUUUGAUCUUAACUUUUUUUGGGUGAGGGUUUUUUAAAAAAGUUUGGUUGGGGCGACCUAGGAAGAAAAGAAUCUUCCUUUUUUAAAGUACUUGUGGUCCAAAGUUUUUGAUGGAAGGACUAAGUUACCAAAGGGAUAACAGCGUUAUUUUUUUUGUGAGUUCUUAUUAAAAGAAAAGAUUGCGACCUCGAUGUUGACUUAUGAUUUCCUUUUGGUGCAGUAGCUAUUUUGGAGGGUCUGUUCGACCUUUAAAAUCUU
RNAcentral lists this ribosomal RNA (467 nucleotides) under Nipponnemertes lactea. Its description in RNAcentral is "partial large subunit ribosomal RNA". It matches the Rfam family "Bacterial large subunit ribosomal RNA", at positions 1830 to 2597 of the family's 2925-position model. The record is from RNAcentral. Lineage: Eukaryota; Metazoa; Nemertea; Enopla; Monostilifera; Cratenemertidae.